UACGAAGGGGGCUAGCGUUGCUCGGAAUUACUGGGCGUAAAGGGCGUGUAGGCGGCACUGUUAGUCAGGCGUGAAAGUCCUGGGCUCAACCUGGGAACUGCGCUUGAUACGGCAGAGCUAGAGGAUGGAAGAGGCUCGCGGAAUUCCCAGUGUAGAGGUGAAAUUCGUAGAUAUUGGGAAGAACACCGGUGGCGAAGGCGGCGAGCUGGUCCAUUACUGACGCUGAGGCGCGACAGCGUGGGGAGCAAACAGG
RNAcentral lists this ribosomal RNA (253 nucleotides) under uncultured bacterium. Its description in RNAcentral is "partial 16S ribosomal RNA". It matches the Rfam family "Bacterial small subunit ribosomal RNA", at positions 524 to 776 of the family's 1533-position model. The record is from RNAcentral.